This 446-nucleotide ribosomal RNA is filed under the name uncultured bacterium. Its description in RNAcentral is "partial 16S ribosomal RNA". It matches the Rfam family "Bacterial small subunit ribosomal RNA", at positions 338 to 795 of the family's 1533-position model. The record is from RNAcentral.
CCUACGGGCGGCAGCAGUCGAGAAUCAUUCACAAUGGGGGAAACCCUGAUGGUGCGACGCCGCGUGGGGGAAUGAAGGUCCUCGGAUUGUAAACCCCUGUCAUGUGGGAGCAAAUUAAAAAGAUAGUACCACAAGAGGAAGAGACGGCUAACUCUGUGCCAGCAGCCGCGGUAAUACCGAGGUCGCAAGCGUUGUUCGGAAUCACUGGGCGUAAGGCGUGCGUAGGCUGUUUCGUAAGUCGUGUGUGAAAGGCGCGGGCUCAACCCGCGGACGGCACAUGAUACUGCGAGACUAGAGUAAUGAAGGGGGGACCGGAAUUCUCGGUGUAGCAGUGAAAUGCGUAGAUAUCGGGAGGAACACUCGUGGCGAAGGCGGGUUCCUGGACAUUAACUGACGCUGAGGCACGAAGGCCAGGGGAGCGAAAGGGAUUAGAUACCCCGGUAGUC